This 331-nucleotide unclassified non-coding RNA is filed under the name soil metagenome. RNAcentral's name for it is "partial contains 5.8S ribosomal RNA, internal transcribed spacer 2, and large subunit ribosomal RNA". The stretch from base 1 to 120 matches the Rfam family "5.8S ribosomal RNA", at positions 35 to 154 of the family's 154-position model. The record is from RNAcentral.
GAUGAAGAACGUAGCGAAAUGCGAUAAGUAAUGUGAAUUGCAGAAUUCAGUGAAUCAUCGAAUCUUUGAACGCACAUUGCGCCCCCUCGUAUUCCGGGGGGCAUGCCUGUUCGAGCGUCAUUUCACCACUCAAGCCUCGCUUGGUAUUGGGCAACGCGGUCCGCCGCGUGCCUCAAAUCGUCCGGCUGGGUCUUCUGUCCCCUAAGCGUUGUGGAAACUAUUCGCUAAAGGGUGUUCGGGAGGCUACGCCGUAAAACAACCCCAUUUCUAAGGUUGACCUCGGAUCAGGUAGGGAUACCCGCUGAACUUAAGCAUAUCAAUAAGCGGAGGA